RNAcentral lists this ribosomal RNA (165 nucleotides) under Callerya nitida. RNAcentral's name for it is "5.8S ribosomal RNA". It matches the Rfam family "5.8S ribosomal RNA". Rfam says of the family: 5.8S ribosomal RNA (5.8S rRNA) is a component of the large subunit of the eukaryotic ribosome. Lineage: Eukaryota; Viridiplantae; Streptophyta; Magnoliopsida; Fabales; Fabaceae. RNAcentral also lists the same sequence under 1 other name. The record is from RNAcentral.
AAAAUGACUCUCGGCAACGGAUAUCUAGGCUCUUGCAUCGAUGAAGAACGUAGCGAAAUGCGAUACUUGGUGUGAAUUGCAGAAUCCCGUGAACCAUCGAGUCUUUGAACGCAAGUUGCGCCCGAAGCCAUUAGGUUGAGGGCACGUCUGCCUGGGUGUCACAGA